GAUGAACGCUAGCGAUAGGCUUAACACAUGCAAGUCGAGGGGCAUCACGGGGUAGCAAUACUUUGGUGGCGACCGGCGUACGGGUGCGUAACACGUAUGCAACCUUCCUGUAAGUGUGGGAUAGCCUCCUGAAAGGGAGAUUAAUACCGCAUGAUAUGUAUUUGCUGCAUGGUAGAUACAUUAAACAUUUAUGGCUUACAGAUGGGCAUGCGUUCCAUUAGGCAGUUGGUGGGGUAACGGCUCACCAAACCUACGAUGGAUAGGGGUUCUGAGAGGAACGGUCCCCCACACUGGAACUGAGACACGGUCCAGACUCCUACGGGAGGCAGCAGUGAGGAAUAUUGGUCAAGUGGGCGUAAGCCUGAACCAGCCAAGUCGCGUGAAGGAUGACUGCCUUAGUGGGUUAGUAAACUUUCUUUUACGAGGGGAAUAAAUUGAGUCACGUGUGUAUUUUUUGCAUGUACCCUGUGAAUAAGCAUCGGCUAACUCCGUG
This 493-nucleotide ribosomal RNA is filed under the name uncultured bacterium. RNAcentral's name for it is "bacterial SSU rRNA". It matches the Rfam family "Bacterial small subunit ribosomal RNA", at positions 28 to 507 of the family's 1533-position model. The record is from RNAcentral.